RNAcentral lists this ribosomal RNA (389 nucleotides) under Bitis arietans (puff adder). Its description in RNAcentral is "partial 16S ribosomal RNA". It matches the Rfam family "Bacterial large subunit ribosomal RNA", at positions 1998 to 2603 of the family's 2925-position model. Lineage: Eukaryota; Metazoa; Chordata; Lepidosauria; Squamata; Viperidae. The record is from RNAcentral.
GGCAAUAUGAGAGCCUAACUGUCUCUUAUAACAAAUCAAUUAAACUGAUCUCCCAGUACAAAAGCUGGGAUACCCACAUAAGACCAGAAGACCCUGUGAAGCUUUAACUAACCUAUUAAACCUCAUAAUAGCUAGUUUCGGUUGGGGCGACCUUGGAAUAAAAAAGAACUUCCAAAAACAUGACCUUCCUCAUAUAAAAGGCAGACAGGCCACAAUUAGACCCAGAACUUCUGAUAAAUGAACCAAGUUACUCCAGGGAUAACAGCGCUAUCUUCUUUAAGAGCCCAUAUCAAAAAGAAGGUUUACGACCUCGAUGUUGGAUCAGGACAUCCUAGCAAUGCAACAGUUACUAAGGGUUCGUUUGUUCAACGAUUAAUAGUCCUACGUGA